CAUAUAUUUUCUGAAUCGUAAACGUAUGCUUCGUAAACGCGCUAUUCUUGUUUCAGACAUUCCACAACACACAACGUAAGAAAAAAGGGUCACCGACCAGCGUCGUCGCGAACCAAUGAAACUACUUCAAAGUCACGUGAUUCUGUUUAUCCGAUUCCACGUUCCAGAUGAACGCUAUUCAGUAACGUUGGACGAUAGAGUUUAUGUUUACUUACGACUGAUACCAGUGGAGAAAAGUGAGGUUAUAUUCGAAAGCGCCAAACGGUAAUACGGAGAACUAUCAUCGUUCCAUUGGUGUUUUCGCGGGCCAGCUACCAUAUUGCUAAUUUCUCCUUGGAAUGUUCGUUUCCAUCGAAUUAAACCAAGUAUACGCACAUCCUUCCCAAGACACAACAAUCUACGGAAGGUUCUAAGAAUUAUCUUACCUGUCCACGGGUGGUGCCCCUCGCGCGGCCCCAUCCCCUUCCACGCGCCCAGACCGAGAGAGAGGCACGUCAGUGUAACGCAGAGCGUAGAGCAGAACGGACCGAAGCGUCUGCGUCGUCGUGGAACGCGCAUCCUAACGGUACGGGAGUGGGGGAAGCUCUUGGACACGUACAGUGGCCUGCGGACAAGCGCACGUUAACGCGAGGAACGUCAUUGGUGUAGCGGUAUUUACGUCUACACGGAAUUCGAGUUGCCGCGAACGCGACUCGAAAAUUUGUCCGUGUCUGCGCCAAUGUUGCGGAUGACAUCAUUGCGAAACGGCUCGGCGGCGGGGCGUGAGGGGUAUCCGUAAAGAUCGUGGAUCAUCGCGAGGGUACGGCGCGGGGUGGGAGGGUUGCGAGCGCCGGUUCGGGGAGCGGAGAGGAGAGGAGUCGAGCGCGAAGAGGAAGAGACACACGGCUAGAGCGAUGGGUUCGAAACGCUUCGAGUCGACGCGAACGAGUUACGAGUGAAUGAAAUGAAAUCGUUGUUACCACGAGUCUAGAAAUUUCUAACCCUUUGCGGUCGACAGGUGACUCUCAGUCGCCAUUAGGUUUCGCGCAGCAAAUCUAUCAGCGAAGAAAUCGUUGGUACCACGAGUCUAGAAAUUUCUAACCCUUUGCAGUCGAGAGGUGACUCUCAGUCGCCAUUAGGUUUCACGCAGCAAAUCUAUCAGCGAAGAAAUCGUUGUUAUCACGAGUCUAAAAAUUUCUAACCCUUUGCAGUCGAGAGGUGACUCUCAGUCGCCAUUAGGUUUCACGCAGCAAAUCUAACAGCGAUGAAAUCGUUGGUACCACGAGUCUAGAAAUUUCUAACCCUUUGCAGUCGAGAGGUGACUCUCAGUCGCCAUUAGGUUUCACGCAACGAAUCUACGAUACCUAAUGUUUCUUUAGGUUUCAUUUCUUUUUGGAGCUUCAAGUGUCGAUAAAAUGAUUGUCGGCGAGGUAAAGGUGACCUCAUUACACAUCUCGAGUUGCUGAUAGAUACCAGAAAAGAAGGCCUCGAGCGCAAAGGGUUAAUCCUCUGUAGCUGAGAUUUUCUGAUCCUUUUCGGAACGAUAUCAUCGAAAAAGCUCGCGGGAAGGAGAAAGUCCGGGAAUCGGGAAAAGUAAGGGAAUCUAAUGGCGAUCGCUAGAGACAGAUCGGGGGAGGCUGAAGAACAAACGGGAGCGACGGAGAACCGAAUAAUGGCGAAGAGAGAACGGAUCCGAGACCUGGGCGUAGAAAAAUCGCGGGGCGUGGAGGGAUGAUGGGGAGGGAGAAUGAAACCGUGAUGUGAUAUAAGAACGAGAAUCCAGCGGUGGGGCAGACCGGGCAACCAGGCCUUGAAGAAGCGAAAGAGAACAAAAAGCGACGGGGCUUCGACUGCGCUAUUCCUACUGCCACUUCAUAAAGUUUCACGAAAAUCGACCGAGGCCCCCCAUAUCUUGUAAAACUUUCGACCCUCCCAACGUUUCUAAUCCCACACGUAUGCGAGAUUCCCGAUGACCCGUCUUCUUUCUUUCGUCGUUUAGUCGAGGCAUGGGACAAGGAUCGCGCCUUCGCAACCAGCGUGAAUGCCACAGGUUUCGACGUUACAUCGAAAAGUCGGCCGGUCUCUAUGCGGGAAAAGGCGAGCAAAGGGCGGACGAGUCGAAGCAAAGUACUGGGGAAAAAGACAGAAGCAAAGUUGGAC
This is a long non-coding RNA of Hylaeus anthracinus, 2139 nucleotides long. RefSeq lists it as uncharacterized. Lineage: Eukaryota; Metazoa; Arthropoda; Insecta; Hymenoptera; Colletidae. The transcript is spliced from 5 exons. The record is from RefSeq and is a predicted model, not a curated record.